CAGGUCUUGACAUCCUCUGACACUCCUAGAGAUAGGAUUUUCCCCCUCGGGGGACAGAGUGACAGGUGGUGCAUGGUUGUCGUCAGCUCGUGUCGUGAGAUGUUGGGUUAAGUCCCGCAACGAGCGCAACCCUUGAUCUUAGUUGCCAGCAUUCAGUUGGGCACUCUAAGGUGACUGCCGGUGACAAACCGGAGGAAGGUGGGGAUGACGUCAAAUCAUCAUGCCCCUUAUGACCUGGGCUACACACGUGCUACAAUGGAUGGUACAAAGGGCUGCGAAACCGCGAGGUUUAGCCAAUCCCAUAAAACCAUUCUCAGUUCGGAUUGUAGGCUGCAACUCGCCUACAUGAAGCCGGAAUCGCUAGUAAUCGCGGAUCAGCAUGCCGCGGUGAAUACGUUCCCGGGCCUUGUACACACCGCCCGUCACACCACGAGAGUUUGUAACACCCGAAGUCGGUGGGGUAACCGUAAGGAGCCAGCCGCCUAAGGUGGGACAGAUGAUUGGGGUG
RNAcentral lists this ribosomal RNA (508 nucleotides) under uncultured bacterium. Its description in RNAcentral is "bacterial SSU rRNA". It matches the Rfam family "Bacterial small subunit ribosomal RNA", at positions 975 to 1482 of the family's 1533-position model. The record is from RNAcentral.